Molecule: ribosomal RNA, 449 nt
Filed under: uncultured organism
Description: partial 16S ribosomal RNA
Rfam family: Bacterial small subunit ribosomal RNA
Source: RNAcentral
ACUCCUACGGGAGGCAGCAGUGGGGAAUAUUGGACAAUGGGCGCAAGCCUGAUCCAGCCAUGCCGCGUGAGUGAUGAAGGCCCUAGGGUUGUAAAGCUCUUUCACCGGUGAAGAUAAUGACGGUAACCGGAGAAGAAGCCCCGGCUAACUUCGUGCCAGCAGCCGCGGUAAUACGAAGGGGGCUAGCGUUGUUCGGAUUUACUGGGCGUAAAGCGCACGUAGGCGGACUAUUAAGUCAGGGGUGAAAUCCCGGGGCUCAACCCCGGAACUGCCUUUGAUACUGGUAGUCUUGAGUUCGAGAGAGGUGAGUGGAAUUCCGAGUGUAGAGGUGAAAUUCGUAGAUAUUCGGAGGAACACCAGUGGCGAAGGCGGCUCACUGGCUCGAUACUGACGCUGAGGUGCGAAAGCGUGGGGAGCAAACAGGAUUAGAUACCCUAGUAGUCCCAUGA